RNAcentral lists this small RNA (711 nucleotides) under Histoplasma ohiense. RNAcentral's name for it is "hypothetical lncRNA". Lineage: Eukaryota; Fungi; Ascomycota; Eurotiomycetes; Onygenales; Ajellomycetaceae. The record is from RNAcentral.
GCAUGCUUCAUCAACUAAUACUUCACUACUUUCUAUUACACCCUUGCUAGUCUGAUUAUAUGACAUAUUUCAAUUAAAUUACUAGGAGUUUAACUUCUUAUAUUCAUACAACAUUCUUACAACUACUCACAAAUGUAGAGAUACAUUUGAAUUUUUCAUCUUUUUCAACAGUUUUUCAUAUAAUUUUAAUUCUUUAACUCAUUCAACAUCAUCAUACAUCAUCUGCAAUUACUCUAUAUAUGUGUACUGCACAGAUUGAGACACGCGCGACGGACAAAUCCUGCAAGUGGAAUCAAUAAUCAUAGAUGCACACAAAACGCAACGAGCAAAACCCCGAACGAGCCCAAUUCUUCGAAUUAGACAACGCGAGUACCCUCAAUCGAUUCCUGCUGCCUUAUGACGGGUUAGCAUCUGUUAGUAGUUAACUUACGCAACCAACUCCCCUCCUGCACCUACUCAUCCCUGUUAUUGCGCUCCGCGCUCGCGUACAUCCUUACAACUACCCAUGAACAUAGGGGUACAUUUGAAUUUUCCACUUUUCCAACUGUUUUUCAUAUAAUUUUAAUUCUUCAAUCUAUUCAAUAUCAUCAUACAUCCUCUGUGAGUACUCUAUGUAUGUGUACUGCACAGAUUGAAUAAUCAUGAAGCUCUCAACAUUCUUUCAUUCAUUCAAGAAUAUUGACACAGUCUAUAUCAGAUCACUGAAGCUGA